RNAcentral lists this ribosomal RNA (341 nucleotides) under uncultured Phaeocystis. Its description in RNAcentral is "partial Bacterial small subunit ribosomal RNA". It matches the Rfam family "Bacterial small subunit ribosomal RNA", at positions 483 to 823 of the family's 1533-position model. The record is from RNAcentral. Lineage: Eukaryota; Haptophyta; Phaeocystales; Phaeocystaceae.
AGAAGAAGCUCCGGCUAACUUCGUGCCAGCAGCCGCGGUAAUACGAAGGGGGCUAGCGUUGUUCGGAAUUACUGGGCGUAAAGCGCGCGUAGGCGGAUUGGAAAGUUGGGGGUGAAAUCCCAGGGCUCAACCCUGGAACUGCCUCCAAAACUAUCAGUCUAGAGUUCGAGAGAGGUGAGUGGAACUCCGAGUGUAGAGGUGAAAUUCGUAGAUAUUCGGAAGAACACCAGUGGCGAAGGCGGCUCACUGGCUCGAUACUGACGCUGAGGUGCGAAAGUGUGGGGAGCAAACAGGAUUAGAUACCCUGGUAGUCCACGCCGUAAACGAUGGAUGCUAGCCGC